This 312-nucleotide ribosomal RNA is filed under the name uncultured eukaryote. RNAcentral's name for it is "partial 18S ribosomal RNA". It matches the Rfam family "Eukaryotic small subunit ribosomal RNA", at positions 1470 to 1796 of the family's 1831-position model. The record is from RNAcentral.
CCCUUAGAUGUUCUGGGCUGCACGCGCGCUACACUGAUGAGACCACCUGUACCGAAAGGCAUGGGUAAACUUGUGAAAGUUCAUCGUGAUGGGGAUAGAUUAUUGCAAUUAUUAAUCUUCAACGAGGAAUUCCUAGUAAGCGCGAGUCAUCAGCUCGCGUUGAUUACGUCCCUGCCCUUUGUACACACCGCCCGUCGCUCCUACCGAUUGAAUGGUCCGGUGAAAUCUUCGGAUUGCUGGAUAGGACUUCAUUGACCUAUCUGCGAGAAGUUGCUUGAACCUUAUCAUUUAGAGGAAGGAGAANUCGUANCA